RNAcentral lists this ribosomal RNA (267 nucleotides) under Pseudoalteromonas shioyasakiensis. RNAcentral's name for it is "partial 23S ribosomal RNA". It matches the Rfam family "Bacterial large subunit ribosomal RNA", at positions 2105 to 2371 of the family's 2925-position model. Lineage: Bacteria; Pseudomonadati; Pseudomonadota; Gammaproteobacteria; Alteromonadales; Pseudoalteromonadaceae. The record is from RNAcentral.
UACAGCUUGGCACUGAACAUUGACCCUACAUGUGUAGGAUAGGUGGGAGGCUUUGAAGCAGAAACGCUAGUUUUUGUGGAGCCGUCCUUGAAAUACCACCCUUGUAGUGUUGAUGUUCUAACGUUGGUCCCUGAUCGGGAUUACGGACAGUGCCUGGUGGGUAGUUUGACUGGGGCGGUCUCCUCCCAAAGAGUAACGGAGGAGCACGAAGGUUGGCUAAGUACGGUCGGACAUCGUACGGUUAGUGUAAUGGUAGAAGCCAGCUUA